AUCCUAUAAAAACAAAACUAAUAAAAAGUUGGUUCUACUUUUAAUCAUAGUUAAAUUAUGACUGCCACAUGUAAGCUAAAAGCACCCCAGCAAAUAUAAAUCUACUAAUAAAAAAAAAUAUAAUUAACAAGAAAAAGAAACCUCCUAAUCUAAAAAAAAAUUGCGUUCAUCAGUGCUUAACAUUAUUAAAUCUAAGAAAUUAGGAAAUAGUCAAUAAUCCAAAAAGGUGGUAAAAAACGUGCCAGCAACCGCGGUUACACGUUAAACCUUAAAUUAUCAUAAACCGGUAAAAGAAGAAAAGAUAAAUAAAAAAGAUAGUAAAACCAAAAAAGCAGUAACAAGCUAAAACAAAAAAAUUACUAGCUACAUAUCCAAUCUUUAAAAAAACUAAUAAACUGGGAUUAGAUACCCCACUAUACCUUAAAAAAUAACUAACAACACCAGAGCAGUAUAAAUCUUUGAAACUCAAAGAACUUGGCGGUUUUCUAAAUCUCCUUGGAGGAGCUUGUUCUCAAAUUGAUAACCCACAAGUCACCUUACCUGUUUUAGACAAAACUACAGCCUGUAUAUUUUCGUCGUCAGCUAACCUUUAAGAACGUUAGCCAAAAGAAAAAUUUCAAAACGCCAGAUCAAGACGCAGCCAAUAAACAGGGGAACUAUGAGCUACUCUACUUUAAAACAGAGGAAAUUUACAUGAAAAAUAAAAAGAAAAAGGAUUCAAUAGUAAUUUUCUAAAGAAAUAUUAAAUGAAAAACGCUCUAGAAUACGUACACAUCGCCCGUCACUCUCCUCAAAAGAAGAGAAAAGUCGUAACAAAGUAGGUGUACCGGAAGGUGUACCUAGAUAA
This 847-nucleotide non-coding RNA is filed under the name Colochirus quadrangularis. Lineage: Eukaryota; Metazoa; Echinodermata; Holothuroidea; Dendrochirotida; Cucumariidae. The record is from RNAcentral.